RNAcentral lists this unclassified non-coding RNA (329 nucleotides) under soil metagenome. RNAcentral describes it as "partial contains 5.8S ribosomal RNA, internal transcribed spacer 2, and large subunit ribosomal RNA". The stretch from base 1 to 120 matches the Rfam family "5.8S ribosomal RNA", at positions 35 to 154 of the family's 154-position model. The record is from RNAcentral.
GAUGAAGAACUCAGCGAAAUGCGAGAAGUAAUGUGAAUUGCAGAAUUCAGUGAAUCAUCGAAUCUUUGAACGCACAUUGCGCCCCUUGGUAUUCCGAGGGGCAUGCCUGUUCGAGCGUCAUUAUAACCCCUCAAGCUCAGCUUGGUGUUGGGGCCUGCUGCACUGGCAGCCCUUAAAAUCAGUGGCGGCGCCAUCUGGCUCUAAGCGUAGUAAUUCUUCUCGCUAUGGAGUCCUGGUGGAUGCUUGCCAUCAACCCCCAAUUUUUCUAUGGUUGACCUCGGAUCAGGUAGGGAUACCCGCUGAACUUAAGCAUAUCAAUAAGCGGAGGA